RNAcentral lists this ribosomal RNA (427 nucleotides) under uncultured prokaryote. RNAcentral's name for it is "bacterial SSU rRNA". It matches the Rfam family "Bacterial small subunit ribosomal RNA", at positions 355 to 774 of the family's 1533-position model. The record is from RNAcentral.
UAGGGAAUCUUCGGCAAUGGGCGAAAGCCUGACCGAGCAACGCCGCGUGAAUGAUGAAGGCCUUCGGGUUGUAAAAUUCUGUUAUAAGGGAAGAACGACUUUAGUAGGAAAUGGCUAGAGUGUGACGGUACCUUAUGAGAAAGCCACGGCUAACUACGUGCCAGCAGCCGCGGUAAUACGUAGGUGGCGAGCGUUAUCCGGAAUUAUUGGGCGUAAAGAGCGCGCAGGUGGUUGAUUAAGUCUGAUGUGAAAGCCCACGGCUUAACCGUGGAGGGUCAUUGGAAACUGGUCGACUUGAGUGCAGAAGAGGGAAGUGGAAUUCCAUGUGUAGCGGUGAAAUGCGUAGAGAUAUGGAGGAACACCAGUGGCGAAGGCGACUUUCUGGACUGUAAAUGACACUGAGGUACGAAAGCGGGGGGAGCAAGCA